Molecule: long non-coding RNA, 160 nt
Organism: Hippocampus comes (tiger tail seahorse)
Lineage: Eukaryota; Metazoa; Chordata; Actinopteri; Syngnathiformes; Syngnathidae
Exons: 3
Source: RefSeq, a predicted model, not a curated record
CGGUUUUUGUUUAUGAUCAUCUCGAGUUUAUUUUCAUCCUUGCCUCUCGUGCAAGCGCUUUUUGUUAUCGGGUUUUUGUGUACUUUCCUGGUCCUUAAUUUUGACCAACGAUUUCUGUUUCCAUUUCUUACGGUGCGAUUUUUUUUGUUUUAAAUAAACA